ACCAGUCACCGAAUCAUCAGUGGAAUCAGAAGACACUCAGGACAAUGAGUCAGAGGAGGAAGAUCUGUUGAUAAUUCCAGCAGUUCCUGAUGACGAGACUUUCAUCAGUGGGAGUACUGUGGACAAGGAUACAUCUAUCUCACAGACAAGUGGUGACGACCAGGUGUCUGCUGAGACAGAUGGUAAUGCUUCUGGUGGUGACGACCACGUGCAGACUGAUACUAGUGAAGACUGCACAGAAGCAGAACCUGAAGACACAUCAGAGCAAGAAGACUCAUUUGGAAGGGAAUCUCCUCCUGUAACUCCUGUAGUUGUCUCAAGACCAACACCACUUCCACGACGCUCUGGACGCCAAACUAAGAAACCAACAUGGCAGACGUCCGGGGAAUAUGUGAUGUGCCAGACUUCUGAUCCAGAUUGGCAUCAGAAGAGUCGACGCAUAGAACAGUUAGUUGCUACCGGCGUCAUUGGUCACAUCAGCAGUGGCAUUUCCAAAGCACUUCUUUCACUCAUUGACGAACCCCAAGAAUGACGUGGACGUCAUUUUCCACAGGAGGGAAGUAUGUGGCAGUAACAGAUUUUGUAUAUUUUAACAUGUUGUAAAUUGAUUAGAAUUCAUGUAAAUAAAUGCUUUAAAUUUCAUUGCACAGCUUUAGUCAUUUUAUUUUAUCAUGAUACUUAGCCUGCCUUAACUAACUAUCACUCACAGCCAGUUCACUGAGCAUGCUUACCGCAUGUUCACCACACAGCACAAUAACAUAAGCCCUUCCCCACCUACGUUCUUUUGUCUUUAUAGCCAGCUUGGGCAAUCAGCUAAGCUUUACACUUUUACACAUUACAAGGUUUGUGGUCACUCCACAUUCAAUCUUCAGUGUGUCAACAUGUCUUGUUCAUUUUCUGGACAUACCUUUGGAUCAUAUCUUUGGAUCAUAUUCUAAGGCAAACAUUUAAUACAGAUACAGCAGCGUCCCCAGGUGUGAAAUAAACCUAGGCCCACACACCUGGGUUGUCGUUUUCACCUAUACCAUAUCUCCAAUAAAUCAUCGGCCAUUGAAGAACAACAAAAGUAGCGUCUGUUGUCUGUGCGUGACUGACGCAGUCCU
Long non-coding RNA from Haliotis rubra (blacklip abalone), 1103 nucleotides. RefSeq lists it as uncharacterized. Lineage: Eukaryota; Metazoa; Mollusca; Gastropoda; Lepetellida; Haliotidae. The transcript is spliced from 3 exons. The record is from RefSeq and is a predicted model, not a curated record.